UGGGGAAUAUUGCACAAUGGGCGCAAGCCUGAUGCAGCCAUGCCGCGUGUAUGAAGAAGGCCUUCGGGUUGUAAAGUACUUUCAGCGGGGAGGAAGGGAGUAAAGUUAAUACCUUUGCUCAUUGACGUUACCCGCAGAAGAAGCACCGGCUAACUCCGUGCCAGCAGCCGCGGUAAUACGGAGGGCGCAAGCGUUAAUCGGAAUUACUGGGCGUAAAGCGCACGCAGGCGGUUUGUUAAGUCAGAUGUGAAAUCCCCGGGCUCAACCUGGGAAAUGCAUCUGAUACUGGCAAGCUUGAGUCUCGUAGAGGGGGGUAGAAUUCCAGGUGUAGCGGUGAAAUGCGUAGAGAUCUGGAGGAAUACCGGUGGCGAAGGCGGCCCCCUGGACGAAGACUGACGCUCAGGUGCGAAAGCGUGGGGAGCAAACAGG
RNAcentral lists this ribosomal RNA (429 nucleotides) under Chloroflexota bacterium. RNAcentral's name for it is "Chloroflexi bacterium partial 16S ribosomal RNA". It matches the Rfam family "Bacterial small subunit ribosomal RNA", at positions 355 to 776 of the family's 1533-position model. Lineage: Bacteria; Bacillati; Chloroflexota. The record is from RNAcentral.